This 253-nucleotide ribosomal RNA is filed under the name uncultured bacterium. Its description in RNAcentral is "partial 16S ribosomal RNA". It matches the Rfam family "Bacterial small subunit ribosomal RNA", at positions 524 to 776 of the family's 1533-position model. RNAcentral also lists the same sequence under 1 other name. The record is from RNAcentral.
GACGGAGGGGGCAAGCGUUGUCCGGAAUCACUGGGCGUAAAGCGCACGUAGGCGGGACGGUGCGUCGGUGCUGAAAGCGCCAGGCUUAACCUGGCGAGGCGUGCCGAUACGACCGACCUCGAGGCAGACAGAGGGUGGCGGAAUUCCGGGUGUAGUGGUGAAAUGCGUAGAGAUCCGGAGGAACGCCGGUGGCGCAAGCGGCCACCUGGGUCUGACCUGACGCUGAGGUGCGAAAGCGUGGGGAGCAAACCGG